Molecule: ribosomal RNA, 252 nt
Filed under: uncultured bacterium
Lineage: Bacteria
Description: partial 16S ribosomal RNA
Rfam family: Bacterial small subunit ribosomal RNA
Source: RNAcentral
UACGUAGGGUGCGAGCGUUGUCCGGAAUUAUUGGGCGUAAAGAGCUCGUAGGCGGCUUGUCGCGUCGGAUGUGAAAGCCCGGGGCUUAACUCCGGGUCUGCAUUCGAUACGGGCAGACUGGAGUACUGCAGGGGAGACUGGAAUUCCUGGUGUAGCGGUGGAAUGCGCAGAUAUCAGGAGGAACACCGGUGGCGAAGGCGGGUCUCUGGGCAGUAACUGACGCUGAGGAGCGAAAGCGUGGGGAGCGAACAG